Non-coding RNA from Pocillopora verrucosa, 1114 nucleotides. The record is from RefSeq and is a predicted model, not a curated record. NCBI's taxonomy places the organism in Eukaryota, Metazoa, Cnidaria, Anthozoa, Scleractinia, Pocilloporidae.
AACUACUAAAAUAAAACAACAGAGCCCAGUUGUAGAAAAGCGGAUAACACUAUCCGACGGAUAAUUUGCCAUCCAGCGGAUAGCUGUUUAGAAAAUGUACUGCGCUGUUCAUUGGAUAGCGAUUUAUCCAGUGGAUUGGCGAAAAAUUAAGUUGAAGAAGAGCGGGACAAUUCAUUGUGUGUUACAUGGAAAGUAAAUAUCUUUAUGGAGCGGGAGAUGCUUCAAACAUGGCGCCGUUCAUGGUGCAACACCCGGAUGUACUACUAGGGGGCUUUGGCUGCCCCAACUGUGGAUAAUUGCAAGUCAAACUAAGAAGAAUGAAGGGAAGGAACCAUGUUUGUCUGUCAGUGGGCUGGUCGUCUUUCAUUAAGGAAGGCACCACUUCCUCCACAAAUGCCUUUCCAUCUUCAUCACUGGCAAGAGAGGUUUGUCCGAGGUGCAGUCGUGUAACAGCUACAGCCCAGAAGAUUUCUUGUCAUUCCCGUCGCUUUCUUAAAACUUUUUUUUACUUUUUAGAAUGAUCAAGCGUUCAGUGGUAAAUAUUAACCAGGGACACAGUUUUCUUUGUACUGCAUGAAACGUCGGUUAUGAAACUAGGGUACAACUCACUAUUUAUAGCAGGGGAGGAACGAGGAAGGUUCUUUCACUAACAGAUGAACUGUAAUUAUUCUGAAAUUCAAUUGAAGAACAAGUAUGCUUUAAAGAAAGUGUAUGAAGACAGAGAAACCAUUAAUUCUGGCUUCUGCCUGGCAGUUGUAUCAAAAAAUGCAUAUUUAAUCCAGUCUCGCCAGAAGAAAGUUAAACCUCAUUGCUUGCACAAUGUAGUCUAAACAAAGGUGUGAUUGAAUUGAUUUGAAUGAGUUCGUUUCAUUUUCAUUUUCCUCUCCUCAAGGUACAUUACCAUAUUCUCAAACCAAUAGCAACAACAACUGAAGUCUCCACUUAUAAUGCUUUUAUUAGAAAUAUACUGGUACUCGUAGAGUAAGACACAUUCUGGUUACAGUAACAGUUACAACUUACAUAUUACCUAGAACUUUAUAAGCAAUAUUUCCUUAAUUUAAGCCAUGUUAUUGGAAGCUAUUAAAGUGAAAUAUGUAGCAAUGCUUGAUAACAU